RNAcentral lists this small RNA (1221 nucleotides) under Vigna angularis var. angularis. RNAcentral describes it as "Non-protein coding transcript". The record is from RNAcentral. Lineage: Eukaryota; Viridiplantae; Streptophyta; Magnoliopsida; Fabales; Fabaceae.
CUCGGGAAAAGAAAAAAAAAUGAGUGCUUAUUUUCUAAAAACAUGUUAUGUUCUUCUACUGCUUUCUUUGCUUGUCUCAGGAAUUACUGUGACGUUCAACAACUCAAAUGAGUGGUGAAACAAAAUGCAUGGACAGAGAGAAGCAAGCAACCCUUAGCUUCAAACUAUACCCGAGAAACAUCGGACGACUAUCUGAGCUGGAGUUUCGAUCUUUGGAGAGAAAUUCUUUAGAGGAUAUCUCAUGCGGAAACGUGAUGACUGCAAACUUGGUCACUUUUGGACUUAUCAUAAUCAAAUAGAGGGGUCACCUGCGUGUUGUUGAAAAUCUGAAAGCCCAUUAGUGUUUCUUGAUUUAGGCAACAAUCAAGAGUCAGGGAAGAUUCCUAUCCCCAAAUAAAAAAUGAAAAUGGAUCUUACAACAAACUGAUUAUAAUGUUGAAGCCUAUUGAAGCCCUUGUUUUAUUUUACUUUAACACAUUUUUGUGAAGCUCAGUUUGGUGUGAAAAUAGGCACAUAAUAUGUUAGGCAUUCUCCGAACCGUUAGGCUGCUCAGAGUAUCAUGAAGUGCAUAGACAUGGUGGAUGCAGCUCACCGCAACAAACAUCGAAAACGGACGAAAAUUAAUGUUCACAGGGUCACAAGACAUUGAGCAUUAAGAUCUCAUUCGUGAUAUAUCCAAACGGAUUUCUCAAGACAUUGAGCAAAAAACGUUCAGUGGAAGACCGAGCUGUGUCACUUGCCCUCGUCAGAGGAUUCAUCGUCGGAAAACACGAGAGAUACAAUUGCAAAAGUUCUCCUGUUACAUCCUGUAAAUUCAAAUUCAAAUUUAAGUUCUAGCCGGGAUACGGUGGCGACCAAAUGGGCAUUAAAGCUAAUCACUACUUAACAGCGACGAUCAAAUGGAUAUUUUUAUUUAAAUAUAAAUUAUAUAUUUUUAUGAUAUUAUCUUGCAGGUCAUAAGACUCUAAAGCAGUUACAUCAAGACCGAACGGUAUCACUCACUCGGUCAUCUGGCCUCAACUCAAACUAAAUUCAGCUACAUUUUUCUGACCGUUCAAAAUUCUAGUGUUGUUUUUCUUCGGUGCAAAUAACAGGACUGUAUACAAACUACUUGGCCAAUGUUGAUCAACCAAUCGGCAGGGAACAUUUUUCAACUAGGUGAGGCAGACUCUUCGUGAGCUUUCACCUUGGUCUUAGGUCACGCUCCUAGUGAACUCCUAA